GAGCACGUAGGUGGGUUUGUAAGUCAGACGUGAAAGCCUUCUGUUCAACGGAAGAAUUGCAUCUGAAACUACAAACCUUGAGUGUAGGAGGGGAGAAUGGAACUUCUGGUGGAGCGGUGAAAUGCGUAGAUAUCAGAAGGAACGCCGGCGGCAAAAGCGAUUCUCUGGCCUAUUACUGACACUCAGUGUGCGAAAGCUAGGGGAGCAAACGGGACUAGAUACCCCGGUAGUCCUAGCCGUAAACGAUGGGCACUAAGUAGAGGGGU
Molecule: ribosomal RNA, 266 nt
Filed under: uncultured Planctomycetota bacterium
Lineage: Bacteria; Pseudomonadati; Planctomycetota
Description: uncultured planctomycete partial 16S ribosomal RNA
Rfam family: Bacterial small subunit ribosomal RNA
Source: RNAcentral